Molecule: long non-coding RNA, 135 nt
Organism: Hibiscus syriacus
Lineage: Eukaryota; Viridiplantae; Streptophyta; Magnoliopsida; Malvales; Malvaceae
Exons: 3
Source: RefSeq, a predicted model, not a curated record
UUUCUUAAUAUAAAAUUUAGGAAGAAAAAAUGUACCUUGAGUUGAGCCAAUGCAAGAGGGGUAUGGGUCAAGAAUUUGACAGCAAGUGUCAUGAUAGUUGAAGUAGUCUCAUAGCCAGCAACAAGCAAAGCCACC